UACUUAACUUUGAUAAAAUCCAACCCUAGUUACUUUACCCAGGAAAAUAAAAAAGACAUUUUCAUUUUGGAAACAAAACCACAACAUCAGGUUUAGGUGCUGUAGCUGUUGUUUUCAUGGGGAUACAGAAAUUAGAGUAACCUUUAUUCACAUGAUACAGAAAACCACAAAGCGAAAGUAUUCACAGGACGUGGUGUGGGCUGUGGGUCCAGGGCAGAGAGGAAGGACGUUCCAGCCUCUGCAGAGCAACAGUCCUAGGUGAAGAACAGUGUGAUGCUGGUGAAGGCUCGAGAACGAAGGCAGCGAAGCCCUGCGUGUAUCAGAUCAUCCGAGUUUCUCGUGGACAUUGGAGGGGUGAGAUGAAUGGUCCACUGCACAGAGUCAGCCUGAAGGCCCACGACGUCGGCACUGUCCCUCCAGCAUUCAGAGCAGCCCGGAAGCUCUCCCAAUCACACCUGAACCCUGAACCUGGCCUCCAUGCACCACAGCUUCCUUCCCACACCACCGCGUGUGUUUGUGUUCACAUGUGUGUGCGCCCUGUGUGUGUGCACCUGUGUGUGCUGGGGGCCGAGGCUGGCGUGUUUCACCCCCCAUGUUCACGAUCACGGCAUGCCUCUCCCCCUUGCCUGUCGGUGGUUGGAUGACGUGGGAUGCUGGGGGGUGGUCUCUUCUGAGCUGCUCUUCCCUCCCACCAUCACUCCAUUCCUAUCACAGGCUGCCAGAGGCAGACCCACACAUCCAAACACAAAGCCAAACCCCUCCCCAGGGGUCCAGAGCAAAGGUGGAUAUUGUCUUCCUUCUCAGGACCCUGGGAGUGACCACGUGGUGAGGCUGUGAGUCCAGGCCCUGGAGUUACUAACCACUUGGCUGAGACACUGUCUUCAGACUUCCUUGGCCUCACCAGCUGCUGCUCCCAGCCUCACUUCCCGUGGGGCACCUGUGCUUUUCUUGUGUUAAUAUUUGCCCAGUGUCCUUCCUUUGGGGGAACUAUCUGCACCAAUGCCCCCGUCGCAUCUAAUUUAGAUGGGGAACUAACCCCAGGGGUCCAUACCCCAACCACACAGGGCACUUGACAACCCCCUCUAAGCCCAUUGGUAGCUCCCUUUUAGUAAAUACUGAGCAGAAACCAGGGGCUGGAGGUAAGUUGGAAUCAGUGCCUGAGAGCCACCUAACUGCUGAGAAUCCUUUCAGAGUGGGUGGCUUGAUCCUUGCUUUGGUUCUCUGGGGCUUCCCUUGUGGCUCAGCUGGUAAAGAAUCCGCCUGCAAUGUGGGAGACUGGGUUUGAUCCCUGGGUUGGGAAGAUCCCCUGGAGAAGGGGAAGGCUACCCACUCCAGUAUUCUGGCCUGGAGAAUUCCAUGCAUUGUACAGUCUGUGGGGUCGCAAAGAGUCGGACACGACUGAGCGACUUUCACUUCACUUUCACUUGGUUCUCUGAGCUUGGUUCCCCACUCCCCUCCUUCACCCUCCCCCUCCCCCCACACCCCCACACCUGCCUCCAGUUAGCAGAAAUCCUUUGCUGUUGCUUAUAAAUAAAGCAUCAGACGCAACAUUUUAAUCUCAGCUUUGCAAAAAGGGAAAAAUUAAAGACAGAGUAUAUAUUCAUUUGAUUUGUGUCAUCCAUAAGCAUACACAUGUAUGUACGUAUAGUUUACCUUUUUAAAUGACGCUGCUAUAGGCUGUUAAAGGUUAGCAACUAGGUUUGUUUGGUUUUGUCUUUUGAAACAAGGAUCCCUGGGAGCAUUCUGUGCCUCAGCGAACUCCAAAGUCGGUUCCCGCCUCAGUGAUCACACCACCUGCCACCUUCGGGCUCAGCGGCCAAGUGGCUGGCGGGGUCCUGGAAUCAAGAGGCCGCCUCAGCAGUCAGCCUCGCUGGAGAGGCCGCUUCUCACUGCGGCCUGCUGCCCGUGUCCCUCCGUUCCCUCUGCUGAAGGAUUGAAUUUUUAAUGUUUUAUUCCCCCAGGAAAACCAGCAAAAACAGGGACUUCCCUGGUAGUCCA
Molecule: long non-coding RNA, 1998 nt
Organism: Bubalus bubalis (water buffalo)
Lineage: Eukaryota; Metazoa; Chordata; Mammalia; Artiodactyla; Bovidae
Exons: 3
Source: RefSeq, a predicted model, not a curated record